UUUGCGUGGCUCUGACACUAGUACGAGAGGACCGUGUUGGACUGACCUCUGGUUUACCGGUUGUGCCGCCAGGUGCAUUGCCGGGUAUCUAAGUCGGGAUUGGAUAAGUGCUGAAAGCAUCUAAGUACGAAGCCAGCCACAAGAUUAGAUUUCUUUCAGGGUCGUUGUAGACUACAACGUUGAUAGGACGCAGGUGUACAGGUGGUAACAUCACAGCCGAGCGUUACUAAUUGCCCGAUGACUUUCUUUUAUCCGCCUUCAAUGGUUUAUAUAUCCGUUUAGCUUCACUAUUUAUAUAAUAGAC
RNAcentral lists this ribosomal RNA (304 nucleotides) under Bacteroides fragilis str. 3996 N(B) 6. Its description in RNAcentral is "partial 16S ribosomal RNA". The stretch from base 1 to 250 matches the Rfam family "Bacterial large subunit ribosomal RNA", at positions 2661 to 2925 of the family's 2925-position model. Lineage: Bacteria; Pseudomonadati; Bacteroidota; Bacteroidia; Bacteroidales; Bacteroidaceae. The record is from RNAcentral.